UUCUCUUUCUUUUUCCAUUUUCCUUUUCUUACCUUCCUUUUACCCUUCCCCGAACUCUCUCUCUUACAACCACCAUGGCCACUGCCGUCAACCACCUCCCUCCAACGACCUUUGCCACCUAUGGCGAAGCCGAGGUCACGAAUGGAACUCAAUGGCAGAGAGCUCUAUGCUCUUUGCCUUGAUUCUUCAGAUCCAAUAGAAAGUGAUGAAGAAAGGCCAACAGCAGUAGCUUGAGAAUGAAGAUCAAUUUUGAUUUUUUGUAUCCUCUUAAAAAUUGUACUUGUAAUGCUAAAAAAAUGUAUGAAUACGAAACAAUUUGAGGCUUGCAUGUGUGAGACCAUUAAGCGUAUUUUUUUUUUUUUUUUUUCCUUCUAUUAGAAUAUUUUGACGUCUUGUUUAGAUGAAGGAUUUUGUUUAAGAAAAUAUAAUUAAAAGAAUUAUUUUUAUUAUAUUUUUGCCGUAUCAAAUACUUUUAAAAGUAAAAAUUUUCCCUAAUAUGACUAGCUAAUCAAGAAAAAUUAAAUAUGACCUUGAUGACUCUCAGCAACCUCUUGAACUAACUAGCAAGUUGGCUAGGCAUAGUGGUCAGUCUAAUCGGCAUACUGUUAACUGUUAAGCCACCCAUGUACAUCACCACAUUCUAUGCAACCAACUCUAUAGCAUUCCUCGCAAUCCAGUAUUCCUUCAGGGCUAUCUAGACAACCAACCCAGCUUGAAGUUCAGCCUAGGAAAUCUUUUGAGCCUUCAGAACAUCACUAGCAUGCUGUUUCAGGUGACCAACAUGAUAACAUCAAGUUGGACUCUCCAAUCAAUGCUCAGAUAAUAGAUGAUUCAAAUGUAUGCAAGACACGAGGCUUUACUCAUAUGUCAGAGAUAUAGAAUACGCCUCGUGGGUUGUGUAGCCCAAAGGCGGGACCCAACCUGGCUGGCCGACCAGAGUAAGUCAACUGAACUCUAAUAGUCAGAUUGGCCCCCUCAACCCAUAUCUGAUGGGAAGCCUAUCCACAACAUAGGCACGAUCGACUUCUGAAUACCACCUAUUAUCUGAAUAGGGGUUGCACUCUGAACUGAAUAUAGCUAUGGUACCGUGCUCUGCUGCUGAAUAUGGUCCAUCAGGGUCUAAUACUAUAUACGUAACUGAUAUUUCUAAAAUACUGUUUUUACCAUGAUUUUGUAACAACUGAAAUAACCAUAACAUUACAUAUAUUGAGCUGAAUAAAUUGUAAUAA
Malania oleifera is the source of this 1229-nucleotide long non-coding RNA. RefSeq lists it as uncharacterized. The record is from RefSeq and is a predicted model, not a curated record. NCBI's taxonomy places the organism in Eukaryota, Viridiplantae, Streptophyta, Magnoliopsida, Santalales, Ximeniaceae. The transcript is spliced from 5 exons.